AGUGAACGCUGGCGGCAGGCCUAACACAUGCAAGUCGAACGGCAGCACAGUAAGAGCUUGCUCUUACGGGUGGCGAGUGGCGGACGGGUGAGGAAUACAUCGGAAUCUACUUUUUCGUGGGGGAUAACGUAGGGAAACUUACGCUAAUACCGCAUACGACCUACGGGUGAAAGCAGGGGAUCUUCGGACCUUGCGCGAUUGAAUGAGCCGAUGUCGGACUAGCUAGUUGGCGGGGUAAAGGCCCACCAAGGCGACGAUCCGUAGCUGGUCUGAGAGGAUGAUCAGCCACACCGGAACUGAGACACGGUCCAGACUCCUACGGGAGGCAGCAGUGGGGAAUAUUGGACAAUGGGCGCAAGCCUGAUCCAGCCAUACCGCGUGGGUGAAGAAGGCCUUCGGGUUGUAAAGCCCUUUUGUUGGGAAAGAAAAGCAGCAGGUUGAUACGCCGCUGUUCUGACGGUACCCAAAGAAUAAGCACCGGCUAACUUCGUG
This 492-nucleotide ribosomal RNA is filed under the name uncultured bacterium. RNAcentral describes it as "partial 16S ribosomal RNA". It matches the Rfam family "Bacterial small subunit ribosomal RNA", at positions 29 to 507 of the family's 1533-position model. The record is from RNAcentral.